GACGAACGCUGGCUGCGUGCUUAACACAUGCAAGUCGAACGCUGAAGCUCUGGUGCUUGCACCGGGGUGGAUGAGUGGCGAACGGGUGAGUAACACGUGAGUAACCUGCCCCUGACUUCGGGAUAAGCCCGGGAAACUGGGUCUAAUACCGAAUAUGACCGUUCCUCGCAUGAGGAAUGGUGGAAAGUUUUUUCGGUUGGGGAUGGGCUCGCGGCCUAUCAGCUAGAUGGUGGGGUAAUGGCCCACCAUGGCGACGACGGGUAGCCGGCCUGAGAGGGCGACCGGCCACACUGGGACUGAGACACGGCCCAGACUCCUACGGGAGGCAGCAGUGGGGAAUAUUGCACAAUGGGGGAAACCCUGAUGCAGCGACGCAGCGUGCGGGAUGACGGCCUUCGGGUUGUAAACCGCUUUCAGCAGGGAAGAAGCCCCUUGGGGUGACGGUACCUGCAGAAGAAGUACCGGCUAACUACGUGCCAGCAGCCGCGGUAAUACGUAGGGUACGAGCGUUGUCCGGAAUUAUUGGGCGUAAAGAGCUCGUAGGUGGUUGGUCACGUCUGCUGUGGAAACGCAACGCUUAACGUUGUGCGUGCAGUGGGUACGGGCUGACUAGAGUGCAGUAGGGGAGUCUGGAAUUCCUGGUGUAGCGGUGAAAUGCGCAGAUAUCAGGAGGAACACCGGUGGCGAAGGCGGGACUCUGGGCUGUAACUGACACUGAGGAGCGAAAGCAUGGGGAGCGAACAGGAUUAGAUACCCUGGUAGUCCAUGCCGUAAACGUUGGGCACUAGGUGUGGGGGACAUUCCACGUUCUCCGCGCCGUAGCUAACGCAUUAAGUGCCCCGCCUGGGGAGUACGGUCGCAAGGCUAAAACUCAAAGGAAUUGACGGGGGCCCGCACAAGCGGCGGAGCAUGCGGAUUAAUUCGAUGCAACGCGAAGAACCUUACCAAGGCUUGACAUACACCAGACCGGGCUGGAAACAGUCCUUCCCCUUUGGGGUUGGUGUACAGGUGGUGCAUGGUUGUCGUCAGCUCGUGUCGUGAGAUGUUGGGUUAAGUCCCGCAACGAGCGCAACCCUCGUUCUAUGUUGCCAGCACGUGAUGGUGGGAACUCAUAGGAGACUGCCGGGGUCAACUCGGAGGAAGGUGGGGAUGACGUCAAAUCAUCAUGCCCUUUAUGUCUUGGGCUUCACGCAUGCUACAAUGGCUGGUACAGAGAGAUGCGAGACCGUGAGGUUUUAGCGAAUCCCUUAAAGCCAGUCUCAGUUCGGAUCGUAGUCUGCAAUUCGACUACGUGAAGUCGGAGUCGCUAGUAAUCGCAGAUCAGCAACGCUGCGGUGAAUACGUUCCCGGGCCU
RNAcentral lists this ribosomal RNA (1354 nucleotides) under uncultured bacterium. Its description in RNAcentral is "bacterial SSU rRNA". It matches the Rfam family "Bacterial small subunit ribosomal RNA", at positions 28 to 1381 of the family's 1533-position model. The record is from RNAcentral.